RNAcentral lists this ribosomal RNA (301 nucleotides) under uncultured bacterium. Its description in RNAcentral is "partial 16S ribosomal RNA". It matches the Rfam family "Bacterial small subunit ribosomal RNA", at positions 509 to 807 of the family's 1533-position model. The record is from RNAcentral.
CAGUAGCCGCGGUAAUACGAAGGGGGCUAGCGUUGUUCGGAAUCACUGGGCGUAAAGCGCACGUAGGCGGACUUUUAAGUCAGGGGUGAAAUCCCAAGGCUCAACCUUGGAACUGCCUUUGAUACUGGAAGUCUUGAGUUCGGGAGAGGUGAGUGGAACUGCGAGUGUAGAGGUGAAAUUCGUAGAUAUUCGCAAGAACACCAGUGGCGAAGGCGGCUCACUGGCCCGAUACUGACGCUGAGGUGCGAAAGCGUGGGGAGCAAACAGGAUUAGAUACCCCAGUAGUCCCUGUCUCUUAUAC